UACGUAGGUGGCAAGCGUUGUCCGGAUUUAUUGGGUUUAAAGGGUGCGUAGGCGGUCCUAUAAGUCAGUGCUGAAAUAUCCCGGCUUAACCGGGAGGGUGGCAUUGAUACUGCAGGACUUGAGUAGAGUUGAGGUUGGCGGAAUUGACGGUGUAGCGGUGAAAUGCUUAGAUAUCGUCAAGAACACCGAUAGUGAAGACAGCUAACUAAGCUCUAACUGACGCUGAGGCACGAAAGUGUGGGGAUCAAAC
This 250-nucleotide ribosomal RNA is filed under the name uncultured bacterium. RNAcentral describes it as "partial 16S ribosomal RNA". It matches the Rfam family "Bacterial small subunit ribosomal RNA", at positions 524 to 773 of the family's 1533-position model. The record is from RNAcentral.